RNAcentral lists this unclassified non-coding RNA (495 nucleotides) under Callicarpa cathayana. Its description in RNAcentral is "partial contains internal transcribed spacer 1, 5.8S ribosomal RNA, and internal transcribed spacer 2". Lineage: Eukaryota; Viridiplantae; Streptophyta; Magnoliopsida; Lamiales; Lamiaceae. The record is from RNAcentral.
GUGACCUGCGGAAGGAUCWUUGUCGAGACCCGCAAAGCAGACCGCGAACACGUGUUUAACCACAUCGGGCCCGSGGCGCGGGGGGAAGCCUCCCGUCGCGAUCCCAUCCCCGCCRGCGUGCGCGARAGCGUUCCGUCGUGCGGGCUAACGAACCCCGGCGCGGCAUGCSCCAAGGAAAACGAAACAUAGCGUCCGCCUCCCGACGCCCCGUUCGCGGGGCGCGCGGGGGGACUGGACGUCUAUCGAAUGUCAAAACGACUCUCGGCAACGGAUAUCUCGGCUCUCGCAUCGAUGAAGAACGUAGCGAAAUGCGAUACUUGGUGUGAAUUGCAGAAUCCCGUGAACCAUCGAGUCUUUGAACGCAAGUUGCGCCCGAAGCCAUUAGGCCGAGGGCACGUCUGCCUGGGCGUCACGCAUCGCGUCGCCCCCCUCCCCGCGCACUGCGCKCGCGAGGGGGGSGSAGAUUGGCCCCCCGUSCGCGCRUCCGUCGCGCSC